AUUAAGGUGGCUGAUAAAAGUGGUAGAUUGUAAAUCUGAGAAUGAGUGUGAGCUCCCUUAGUA
RNAcentral lists this transfer RNA (63 nucleotides) under Atelura formicaria. RNAcentral's name for it is "tRNA-Tyr". Lineage: Eukaryota; Metazoa; Arthropoda; Insecta; Zygentoma; Nicoletiidae. The record is from RNAcentral.